RNAcentral lists this long non-coding RNA (327 nucleotides) under Zonotrichia albicollis (white-throated sparrow). Its description in RNAcentral is "lncRNA (ENSZALG00000001656.1)". Lineage: Eukaryota; Metazoa; Chordata; Aves; Passeriformes; Passerellidae. The record is from RNAcentral.
UGUUGUUUCAAUUGGUAUUGAUUUUAUGUUCUUUAAUUUUAGGCACCCAAGCUGCAAAACAAAACAAGCUUCAUGUUCAGUAACUCCAUGUACCAACAAGGAUUCUCUAUGGAUUCACCAAAUAAUGGCCGUUUUGAAAAUACGGGCAUCUCACCUAUUCUCUCUCUGUUGCAGCAGCAUUGGAAAAUCCAGGAGGUGGAAUGCUCAAACAACAGAUGUGCAGACCAAAAGCAGUGAAAUUUACAGCUCUGAUUCUGAUGGCUGAAAGAAAACCAACACUGACCUUCAAGAGUUUAGGGUAUAAAUAAAGAGUUUUAGAAUUAUGCA